This 342-nucleotide unclassified non-coding RNA is filed under the name soil metagenome. RNAcentral's name for it is "partial contains 5.8S ribosomal RNA, internal transcribed spacer 2, and large subunit ribosomal RNA". The stretch from base 1 to 120 matches the Rfam family "5.8S ribosomal RNA", at positions 35 to 154 of the family's 154-position model. The record is from RNAcentral.
GAUGAAGAACGCAGCGAAAUGCGAUAAGUAAUGUGAAUUGCAGAAUUCAGUGAAUCAUCGAAUCUUUGAACGCACAUUGCGCCCGCCAGCACUCUGGCGGGCAUGCCUGUUCGAGCGUCAUUUCAACCAUCAAGCCCCCAGGGGCUUGUGCUGGGGCCCUGCGGCUGCACGCAGGCCCUGAAAACCAGUGGCGGGCUCGCUAGUCACACCGAGCGCAGUAGCACAUCUCGCUCAGGGCGUGCGGCGGGCUCCUGCCGUGAAACCCCCCACUGUAACCCCAAAGGUUGACCUCGGAUCAGGUAGGAAUACCCGCUGAACUUAAGCAUAUCAAUAAGCGGAGGA